This 887-nucleotide long non-coding RNA is filed under the name Nicotiana tabacum (common tobacco). RNAcentral describes it as "long non-coding RNA (NTAB_LNC013768)". The record is from RNAcentral. Lineage: Eukaryota; Viridiplantae; Streptophyta; Magnoliopsida; Solanales; Solanaceae.
GGCAGUAUAUACAAGGUUUGUGAGGCUAUCCCUUUCCUUCUUUUGCACGACUCCGAUUGUACAUAAUGUAAUGAACGAGCUUCCAAGAUACUCUACUCUUAGAAGCUAGUAGUACUUACACUGUUUUCCCUCUUAUGGAACGAUUGAUGUUAAUGUUACUUCUCUUAUUCUUAUGUUAUCAAUGUUGUUCGUACUUCCUAAAUCUUAUAAGGUUCAUAGUGAAGAGUUAGUCCUAAUAACGUGUAUAGAGGAUACCGACCUUACGUCACUCCGAAAGGUUUAGAAUGUGAUUCCAUGAGUCGAGCAUGAAUUAUAUAUAUGUAUCUAUUUUACUCUACCGAGCCACGCUAUAGUUGGCCGGGUACGGCACCUAUUGUGCAACCACUGAUCAGUUGGGUUUUACCGAGCUCCACAUGGCCGAGUACGAUUCUACCGAGCCUAUUAUGACCGGGUACGAUAUGAUGAUAAUGAUGCCCACAGAGGCGAAUGCUUUAAAGGUUUAUGUAUUUAUACAUAUGUAUCAUGCAUUUCAUGUAAGUAGCCCUCAGAGGUACUAAGAUGUUACAGGUUGUAUAUUCUCUAUCCUUGCUUACAUUACUUAUCGUAUUUAUGGUUCCUUGCCUUACAUACUCAGUACUUUAUUCGUACUGACGUCCCUUUAUUUGUGGACGCUGCAUGUCAUGCUGCAGGUCCUGAUAGACAGGCAGGUGCAGCUCCCCCACCACAGUAGACUGUCUAGUUCAGCGGUGAUUGGCGAGAUCCCUUCUCCGGACUUGCCUUGGUCUUGGUAUGCAAUUUUUGUUAUAGACAUUAUGGGUAUGUCGGGGCCCUGUUCCGGCUAUGUUGCAACACUUAUGUUCUUUUAGAGGCUCAUAGACAGGUGUCGG